AGUCGAGCGGUAGAGAGAAGCUUGCUUCUCUUGAGAGCGGCGGACGGGUGAGUAAUGCCUAGGAAUCUGCCUGGUAGUGGGGGAUAACGUUCGGAAACGGACGCUAAUACCGCAUACGUCCUACGGGAGAAAGCAGGGGACCUUCGGGCCUUGCGCUAUCAGAUGAGCCUAGGUCGGAUUAGCUAGUUGGUGAGGUAAUGGCUCACCAAGGCGACGAUCCGUAACUGGUCUGAGAGGAUGAUCAGUCACACUGGAACUGAGACACGGUCCAGACUCCUACGGGAGGCAGCAGUGGGGAAUAUUGGACAAUGGGCGAAAGCCUGAUCCAGCCAUGCCGCGUGUGUGAAGAAGGUCUUCGGAUUGUAAAGCACUUUAAGUUGGGAGGAAGGGCAGUUACCUAAU
This 402-nucleotide ribosomal RNA is filed under the name uncultured bacterium. RNAcentral describes it as "bacterial SSU rRNA". It matches the Rfam family "Bacterial small subunit ribosomal RNA", at positions 60 to 464 of the family's 1533-position model. The record is from RNAcentral.